UACGAAGGGUGCAAGCGUUACUCGGAAUUACUGGGCGUAAAGCGUGCGUAGGCGGUGAGUUAAGUCUGAUGUGAAAUCCCCGGGCUCAACCUGGGAAUGGCAUUGGAUACUGGCUCGCUAGAGUACGGUAGAGGGUGGUGGAAUUCCCGGUGUAGCAGUGAAAUGCGUAGAGAUCGGGAGGAACAUCUGUGGCGAAGGCGGCCACCUGGACCAGUACUGACGCUGAGGCACGAAAGCGUGGGGAGCAAACAGG
Molecule: ribosomal RNA, 253 nt
Filed under: uncultured bacterium
Lineage: Bacteria
Description: partial 16S ribosomal RNA
Rfam family: Bacterial small subunit ribosomal RNA
Source: RNAcentral